Molecule: long non-coding RNA, 1687 nt
Organism: Pyrus x bretschneideri (Chinese white pear)
Lineage: Eukaryota; Viridiplantae; Streptophyta; Magnoliopsida; Rosales; Rosaceae
Exons: 2
Source: RefSeq, a predicted model, not a curated record
CACACCUUGGCCGUUAAGCUCGUCUCCCCUCUUUUCUAUAGCCUCAAGCCCAGAGCCAUGAAAGCUCUCUUUCUCUCUCUUCCUCUCAAACCCUAACACAAAACCGUUGCUCUCUAGCCAUUCCAAAAUCUUCCAAUGGUCCUAGAUUUGUCAAACUCAAAAACAAAUACCCAGUCGUGCCUCCAUAGCUGGAUUUCUGUCAUUUAUUCCCAAAUCUCCAUGUCUCUACAAAUCGAAGCUCCAAUCCGUCGAAUCAAAGUCAUAGUGCACAACAAGGUUCAACCAAGAAGUGAUGCAAAAGCCCAAAAAUCCGUGCAUAAGGUCAAUCUACGUAUUGGCUUGAUGAAUGUGCUCCCUAUUGUGUUGCUUGGAUCCCACCCCAAAACUUCAAUGUAAUUAUAUUUUGAAUGAAGUGCGAGAAAGUGAAAGAGUGAAGGGGAUCCAUUAGCAUAGAGGUCUUCUCAGCAUCCCCACUGCGAGUAUCCCUGUACCUCAUCCGUGCUCCUUCUGUAUCUUGUGCUUGCAUUUGUGUUGAAUUUGACUCCCAUGAAUAUUCUUAAUUUCUUAUGAAUGUGGUGAUGAAUUUUGUUGUGAUGAAUGGAUGGUUGAAUGCAUACUGAGAUGAAUGGAUCGAAUGAGUUCCGAAUACAGCCUGCAAUCACAAAUCAAAAACCUAAUUAGAUAAGUAAAGAAAAAUAACAAGAAUUAAAUUUUUUUUUCAAUUUUCUGAUAUUUAUUUAUUUUUUUGUAAUUCUUGUAAUUAAGAAUAAAAACAGGAAAAUAAAAUAAAUGAAAUAAAAAGAAAAGAGUUAGAAAAAUUGGGUUGCCUCCCAAUUAGCGCUUUAGUUAGCGUCUAUAACUAGACGUAGAGGAAAGAAUUGAAGAUCACGUCACUUGUUCCCUUAGAGUUAACCACUUCCUGAUAGCAUCAUACAACAACAGUAGGUAUGGAAUGAGUUGUUGUUUAUCAGUGGUUGAAUUCUUCAUAAUUGACCUUCUAUGUCAAUGAAUCUUUGUGAUCAAAUAAGGUUGUUUCCAAUGAGGUUUAUGUUUCCUUCGAGCUGCCUUGAACCUUGUAUUUAACACUCACAACCUCUGCACUGGCAGAAUUUCUCUACGAGGAAUUUGGCUGUCACGGAAUUGAUCUUGAUUUUCUUUAAAUUUGAUGAAUUGUGAUGUUUGCGUGUCCAAUUCAACAACCCAAAUUUUCUGAUCAGUAGCCGGUUACUCCGAAUCCAAAAUGGUCAUAGUAGUCAAAAGCUGAUCAUGUGAUGUCUGAUAUACUGAUUUUGAAUGAACCGCUUCUAACAUAUCAAUUCUUGUGCAUUCGUGCAACCCUGUUGGGAAGGCUUCCGGUGGCACAUAAACUUGGGGAGGAGAAGAUUGUGCAGAAAUUGUUUCACGAUCAGCAGGUGGUGUUUCCUCCCUUGGGCAUGACUGGCUGGUAGAUUUCUCUUCCGUUUCUGCACCAAUUUCUUCUUGAUCAUCAUAGCGUUUCCCAUAGUUUAUUAAUGGUUGAAUCUGAAAUUCUUGAUUAGUUCUUUCAAUAUACAACUCAAUUGAUUCCAACAAUUUAAAGAGUUUGUCUUCCACCGAAAGCUUUUGUGGCGCAUUAAAUUUCUCGAAAUACUGCUCAAGAUGUUUUUUCAAACUUGGAGUGUAGAACUCUGAAUGGGGAUUGUUCCAA